GCUUACGGCCAUACCACCCUGAGCAUGCCCGACCACGUCUGAUCUCGGAAGCUAAGCAGGGCUGUGCUUGGUUAGUACUUGGAUGGGAGACUUCCUUGGAAUACCUGGUGCUGUAAGCC
This is a ribosomal RNA of Maylandia zebra (zebra mbuna), 119 nucleotides long. The record is from Ensembl. NCBI's taxonomy places the organism in Eukaryota, Metazoa, Chordata, Actinopteri, Cichliformes, Cichlidae.